UAGGCAGCAAACCCUCCUGUACGGGCUAAUGUUUUGUAUCUGAGCACCGAAUACUCAGUGCGCAUCUCGGAGGCUGUGAAACAUAUUUUUAAUCCGUACUUUGAUAAAGCAAGCUGGUUUCAGAACUCCAGCAUGUACCAUUUUAGCAUGUUUCAUGCUUCACAUCAUAUUACACCUGUUCCUGCUACUGAAGAUGAGAUAGAAGUGGAAGCAAGUGCUGUUCAUGCUGUUGCAGAUGAUCUCUGUCCUUUAAAAAUUGUUUUAGACAGGGUGGUUUUAACCUCAACUGGUGUGCUUCUGGGUUGCUGGCAGGUUACUUUCUGAA
Molecule: long non-coding RNA, 325 nt
Organism: Quercus lobata
Lineage: Eukaryota; Viridiplantae; Streptophyta; Magnoliopsida; Fagales; Fagaceae
Exons: 4
Source: RefSeq, a predicted model, not a curated record